This 87-nucleotide transfer RNA is filed under the name Terriglobia bacterium. RNAcentral's name for it is "tRNA-Leu". It matches the Rfam family "tRNA". Rfam says of the family: Transfer RNA (tRNA) molecules are approximately 80 nucleotides in length. Their secondary structure includes four short double-helical elements and three loops (D, anti-codon, and T loops). Further hydrogen bonds mediate the characteristic L-shaped molecular structure. tRNAs have two regions of fundamental functional importance: the anti-codon, which is responsible for specific mRNA codon recognition, and the 3' end, to which the tRNAs corresponding amino acid is attached (by aminoacyl-tRNA synthetases). tRNAs cope with the degeneracy of the genetic code in two manners: having more than one tRNA (with a specific anti-codon) for a particular amino acid; and 'wobble' base-pairing, i.e. permitting non-standard base-pairing at the 3rd anti-codon position. Lineage: Bacteria; Pseudomonadati; Acidobacteriota; Terriglobia. RNAcentral also lists the same sequence under 2 other names. The record is from RNAcentral.
GCGGAUAUGGCGGAACUGGCAGACGCGCUAGGUUCAGGUCCUAGUGAUCGCAAGGUCGUGGAGGUUCGAGUCCUCUUAUCCGCACCA